RNAcentral lists this ribosomal RNA (253 nucleotides) under uncultured bacterium. RNAcentral's name for it is "partial 16S ribosomal RNA". It matches the Rfam family "Bacterial small subunit ribosomal RNA", at positions 524 to 776 of the family's 1533-position model. The record is from RNAcentral.
UACGUAGGUGGCAAGCGUUGUCCGGAUUUAUUGGGCGGAAAGAGCGCGCAGGCGGUCGAGUAAGUCGAAUGUGAAAGCCCCCGGCUUAACUGGGGAGGGUCAUUCGAUACUGUUCGACUUGAAGGCAGGAGAGGGCAGCAGAAUUCCCGGUGUAGUGGUGAAAUGCGUAGAUAUCGGGAGGAAUACCAGUGGCGAAGGCGGCUGCCUGGCCUGUUCUUGACGCUGAGGCGCGAAAGCUAGGGUAGCAAACGGG